This 226-nucleotide long non-coding RNA is filed under the name Homo sapiens (human). Its description in RNAcentral is "HSALNT0078423". The record is from RNAcentral. Lineage: Eukaryota; Metazoa; Chordata; Mammalia; Primates; Hominidae.
UGGUCUCAAACUCCCGACCUCAGGUGAUCCGCCCGCCACGGCCUCCCAAAGUGCUGGGAUUACACACAUGAGCCAACACGCCCGGCCGAAGGUCAGCUUUUUCAGGAAACACAACCUAUUUGUGGGAGUUUCUUUUAGAUCUACUUCAAGAUAAAAAUACUUGUCCCAGGUAUAUUAAAUGGACUCAGAGAGAAAAAGGCAUAUUCAAGCUGGUGGAUUCAAAGGC